UGGGGAAUAUUGGACAAUGGGCGGAAGCCUGAUCCAGCCAUGCCGCGUGUGUGAAGAAGGCCUUUUGGUUGUAAAGCACUUUAAGCGAGGAGGAGGCUCUUCUAGUUAAUACCUAGGAUGAGUGGACGUUACUCGCAGAAUAAGCACCGGCUAACUCUGUGCCAGCAGCCGCGGUAAUACAGAGGGUGCGAGCGUUAAUCGGAUUUACUGGGCGUAAAGCGUGCGUAGGCGGCUGAUUAAGUCGGAUGUGAAAUCCCUGAGCUUAACUUAGGAAUUGCAUUCGAUACUGGUCAGCUAGAGUAUGGGAGAGGAUGGUAGAAUUCCAGGUGUAGCGGUGAAAUGCGUAGAGAUCUGGAGGAAUACCGAUGGCGAAGGCAGCCAUCUGGCCUAAUACUGACGCUGAGGUACGAAAGCAUGGAGAGCAAACAGG
RNAcentral lists this ribosomal RNA (430 nucleotides) under Pseudomonadota bacterium. Its description in RNAcentral is "Proteobacteria bacterium partial 16S ribosomal RNA". It matches the Rfam family "Bacterial small subunit ribosomal RNA", at positions 355 to 776 of the family's 1533-position model. The record is from RNAcentral. Lineage: Bacteria; Pseudomonadati; Pseudomonadota.